Molecule: ribosomal RNA, 497 nt
Filed under: uncultured bacterium
Lineage: Bacteria
Description: partial 16S ribosomal RNA
Rfam family: Bacterial small subunit ribosomal RNA
Source: RNAcentral
GAUGAACGCUGGCGGCGUGCCUAAUACAUGCAAGUCGAGCGAACGGACGAGAAGCUUGCUCCUCUGAUGUUAGCGGCGGACGGGUGAGUAACACGUGGAUAACCUACCUAUAAGACUGGGAUAACUUCGGGAAACCGGAGCUAAUACCGGAUAAUAUUUUGAACCGCAUGGUUCAAAAGUGAAAGACGGUCUUGCUGUCACUUAUAGAUGGAUCCGCGCUGCAUUAGCUAGUUGGUAAGGUAACGGCUUACCAAGGCAACGAUGCAUAGCCGACCUGAGAGGGUGAUCGGCCACACUGGAACUGAGACACGGUCCAGACUCCUACGGGAGGCAGCAGUAGGGAAUCUUCCGCAAUGGGCGAAAGCCUGACGGAGCAACGCCGCGUGAGUGAUGAAGGUCUUCGGAUCGUAAAACUCUGUUAUUAGGGAAGAACAUAUGUGUAAGUAACUGUGCACAUCUUGACGGUACCUAAUCAGAAAGCCAUGGCUAACUACGUG